AUCCAGACUCCUACGGGAGGCAGCAGUGGGGAAUAUUGCACAAUGGGGGAAACCCUGAUGCAGCGACGCCGCGUGAGCGAAGAAGUACCUCGGUAUGUAAAGCUCUAUCAGCAGGGAAGAAGAUGACGGUACCUGACCAAGAAGCUCCGGCUAAAUACGUGCCAGCAGCCGCGGUAAUACGUAUGGAGCAAGCGUUAUCCGGAUUUACUGGGUGUAAAGGGAGCGUAGACGGCGUCGCAAGUCUGAAGUGAAAGCCCGUGGCUCAACCGCGGAACCGCUUUGGAAACUGCGAGGCUGGAGUGCUGGAGAGGUAAGCGGAAUUCCUGGUGUAGCGGUGAAAUGCGUAGAUAUCAGGAGGAACACCGGUGGCGAAGGCGGCUUACUGGACAGUGACUGACGUUGAGGCUCGAAAGCGUGGGGAGCGAACAGGAUUAGAUACCCCGGUACAA
Molecule: ribosomal RNA, 449 nt
Filed under: uncultured bacterium
Lineage: Bacteria
Description: partial 16S ribosomal RNA
Rfam family: Bacterial small subunit ribosomal RNA
Source: RNAcentral